Brienomyrus brachyistius is the source of this 1640-nucleotide long non-coding RNA. RefSeq lists it as uncharacterized. The transcript is spliced from 3 exons. The record is from RefSeq and is a predicted model, not a curated record. NCBI's taxonomy places the organism in Eukaryota, Metazoa, Chordata, Actinopteri, Osteoglossiformes, Mormyridae.
UACCCUACAUUUUUAAAGAUGGAGGUUUAAAUAAGGCAGCUCCCAUGUAAGGCAGGUCACUGGUGCAUGAGCAUGUUAAAGACUGACAGUGGAACUGCAUGGAUUAGCUGUGAAAGCACUGGACUCUGGGCAUUGCCACUUUGGAGUGCUAAAAAAGGCAACGCUGCAGCCGAUAAGGACCCUGCACUCGCACAUUUGUUUUAGCAGCACAGCUGCAGGGCGAACGUCAGCUGACGAUGGCGCAGGGCAGGACUCGCCGUUAUCCCAGACUUGGCACUAUUGCUGAUGCAGUGGUGGCAUCCCCAACACCCUCGGUGCCGUGGGCUGAGACGAAGAGCCCGGAUCAGCUGCUGCUGUCUGCUGGCUCGUGAUUGACUCUAUAUUAUCUUAAUAUAACCAGUUUUACAAAGUUGUCUACUUAAGCUGUAGCAACAAAACUUCAUAUAUUUCAAACAUGUGUAUCCAUGCGGACUUUUAAAUAUAUUUCUUUAUAUAUUUUCCAUCCACAAGGAAGACAAUUAUCAUGAUGCGUAUUCCAGAUACAGUUAGAUUUUAUCACUGACUAUAUAUUUCGUCACUGUAAGUGAAGUCCUUAAGUUUAAAAAAAUGUUUAUCACCCCAAAAAAGAAAUGCAUCCAAUCUACGCAUCACUUAAAGGAAAUGAAGAGGGAUUUUUAAAUGUGAAACAGACACAGCUGUUCAGUAAGCAACAGAGAGAGCUCUUUGUCUUUUAUCUUCCUCUGUAAUGUGCACAGGUGCUGCUUAAUUCAAUUGGAAAACGUUGCCAUGGUUUUACGUUAAUAUAUUUCCAUGUUACCAGUACAACUGUUGUCAUGGAGAUGAUAGGACCUAUUUGAACUGAAACUGAGAGUGAGGCACAGAAAGAGCUCACUAUUUCGAUUCCCGACUGUUAGUAGAAAUGCGAUCUGCACACUGAAUUUCUUUGUUUUUAAAGUUUAUUUAUUCCCAUUCUGUGUGCCCCAUUUUGUGUCUUUGUUUAUGUCGGAGGGGCUCUUUAGAUUUAGAUGUAUAAAUUUAAAAAACAGUACUGCUUGCAUAAACCUGAGUUUGUUUAACUAGUAUGUUUCGAUUUUAUAGAUGCUAGAACAGAUAAAAUAAAAGGAUCGUUAUGAAGGUAACCAGUUUAAAUGAAUAGACCGUUUUGUCUUUUCCAUCACUGUUAAUGAAAUGUUUUCUUUUCCACAUCCUUAUCUGUGGGUAUCUGGAAAAUUUCCAGAGUUCACGGGUGCCUUGUUCCCUCUCUGCUUUGUUUAUCGGACAUGUCGCGUUUAAAAUUCCUAAUGCGGGAGAAGAAAAACACCUCCGCAGCCAAAAAGACUACAAGACUACUCAGUUACCGAUUCCUGUUGUUAACCUGUAUGUCAGCAUCCCAAGCUGAAGAAUGGAUAGGGAAGAAUGUGUUUUACAACAAAAUUUGUUCGACUUAGUGACAAGUAAAAGUAACAUAAAGCGUCCACUGUCCAAGCCAGGGAAAAUGAAUCCAGCAUAAAAUGUAGCUGUAAGUGACACACAAAUAUGACACAAAAGGCACCUCAGCUGCUGAAUCAGUGCUAACUACCACAUUGCUGGAUGCGAACAAUCUUAUACGUUCAUAAACAUUAAACAUCUGGUUUCAUGUA